RNAcentral lists this long non-coding RNA (1346 nucleotides) under Parus major (Great Tit). Its description in RNAcentral is "lncRNA (ENSPMJG00000016758.1)". The record is from RNAcentral. Lineage: Eukaryota; Metazoa; Chordata; Aves; Passeriformes; Paridae.
CCUAAAGCUGUUCUUACAUAGAUCAUCUCUGAACUCAUCAGAACAGGAUGCUGGGGAUCUCAUUUAAUAAAUUGCUAAAAUAUUCUUAUUUAAGUUUUAUUUUAACCUGACUAUAAUUUGAUCAGGUUCUCUUUAGCUUCUUUUAGAGAAUAGAGUUGUGAAACAUUUUCAUUUUAUUAAAAAAGAAGUUCCAGCUGAUACAGAAAGUUUCCAUUUUUGUUUUGAUUUCAUUAUUUCUGUGUUUUACCCCUUCCCUCCCUUAUAUAAAAAUGUAAGUAUUUAGAUCCAGUAAGACUCCAAAGCAAGCAUUUCAUAUGGUUUUCAAUCUGUAUAAAAUCACAUUUCUCUUUCAUUUUGCAAAUAAAACAGAAGUGUCUCAAGAAAAUUUCAAAAUAAUUUAAUUCUUUUCUCCAUAUUUUUCACUCACAUUUUGGUGGUGUUGGUGGGAAAAUGCAUCCUACUCUUCAUUCUGUUGGUGGACUCCCAUCAAGGACCAAAAAGAAAAAAAGAAAAAAAGAAAUAAACAAACAAACCAAAAAAAAAAAAAAAAAAAAGAAGAAAACUUAGAAAAGGCCACUUCUGCUUAAAAGACAAUACUACUUAUGGUUUUAAUUUAAAGAGAAACAUUUAUUUGGACAUUUAAAUUUAUUGAGGUCCACAAAGAUUGUUUUCUCUCCCCAGAUUAGAAAUGCCAUGUGACUGGAUGGGAGUGUCUCACAGGCCAGGUCUCACUGGAGGGAUCCUGAAAGGAAAAUUCAGAUGACACCUCAAAUUCUGGGCAGCAGUGCUGAGACAGUGGGAGGCCUGACAGGUCUGCGGCAGCCACAGCCAGGAGAGAGGAUUUCACAGCAAUCUGCCACAGCAAUGCUGGUCCCUCCAAAGGACAGGAGGCCCAACCAGCAUUUAAAUGACAAGUUUACUAAUGGUAACUGGAAGUGCUGUGAUGUCUCCCUGCUUCAAGUACAGAUUGCAACACCUGCUGGGACAAGACUCCCCCAAACCUGUGAGAUGCUGCAGGAUGCUCAGGGAAACGCUGCACAACCUGGCGAGGACUCAAUGUGAUAACGCUGAAGAGUGAUCAGACAGUCAACUAUGAAACCGCGGCGGCGUCUGCUGAGGAAAACCCACAAGCUGUCAAGAAAGCUGCGGGAUGUUUUGCGACACAAUCUAUCAACUAUCCAAGGUGAAUGCCUUUAUUUAUAGAUGGAUUUCUUUUCCUGUUGUAAUUCCAUGCCUUCUCAGUCUUACAGUAAGCCACCUGGCCAGUGUGAAUACGCACGUUAAUUUCAAGGUAAUAUAUUAUUCUGUAUAAUAAAAACAAGUUGUCUGGCUGUUUUUAGUGGAGU